Folsomia candida is the source of this 135-nucleotide small nucleolar RNA. It matches the Rfam family "Small Cajal body specific RNA 8". From Rfam's summary of the family: scaRNAs are a specific class of small nuclear RNAs which localise to the Cajal bodies and guide the modification of RNA polymerase II transcribed spliceosomal RNAs U1, U2, U4, U5 and U12. U92 belong to the H/ACA box class of guide RNAs as it has the predicted hairpin-hinge-hairpin-tail structure, conserved H/ACA-box motifs and is found associated with GAR1. Its is predicted to guide the pseudouridylation of residues U44 in U2 snRNA. The record is from Rfam. NCBI's taxonomy places the organism in Eukaryota, Metazoa, Arthropoda, Collembola, Entomobryomorpha, Isotomidae.
UGGGAAAUAUUGAUACACGAUAACUGCAAAAAGUUAAUUAGUUACUCGUCACAAAGUUUCCCUAAAUUAAGUUUGCCUUCUGAUGACCGUAGUAGUUAUAGUACAGCCCUGCGGACAGAUACGGGGCAUAUAUGU